AGAUAGCAACGCCUCGUCGCCGUCUCCUUCGAGCCCCUUCGCCAGACACGUUUCCACGCCUAAAGAGCAUGUACAUACACCUAAACAAACACGUAUCCACGCCUCCUUAUCCAUGUGUCACCCAUUUGUCCACCCGCUACCACCCCUCAGCUCCUUAUCCACACAGAUCCAAGCUCAGCCCUUCGAAUAGAGCCUUCCAGUGCUCUCCAGAGCGGCGAUGUACUCGAGAGGGGUCAGGUGGAGAUCCGGGAGUAGCAGGGGGAGGUUGGUCGGGGUGAGGAGCGACGCGGCCAUCACGGAGAAGCCCGCCGGGGAGGAUGUUGGCUGGGGUGAGGUGCAACGCGGCUAUCGCUGCUGAGACUGUCGGAGGCAGCGAUUAGGGGUGGUAGGAGUGCGAGAUGUGGCUUGGCGACGACAGCAUCGCCUCCGCCGAGCUCACGCAGAGCGCCAAGAGCUGGCUGUUCAUUGUUGAAGUCAAACCUCAGAUUGGCCCCCUUAGAUGUUGGCCAGGUGGAUAUAGGUGAAUUUAUCAUUCCUGUUCCUCAUGUGAAGCAGAUGAAGGAAAAUAACAUCUGACUCAUUAUCUCUUCCUGAUAAGGAAAAUUGCUCUGAGUCAUGUUUGAUGGAGGAGGUCUUUGAGGACGGAUGCCCGUCCCUUUCAAGGAGGUGUUCUCCUAAGUCUGUUGAUUUAAUUCGAGUUGCAUGCUCCUGUUUUUGCAUUGGUUUGUAGUUCUCCUCAAUGCAUUCUUUGCCAAACCCUUCUAGUUUGGUAAUAUCUUCAAUCUUCUCAUAAGUUGACUGCAAAAUAUUUAAAGAGUUAAAAUUAUUGCCAUCACCAAUCUGACACAUAGCAAGAUAUAUAUUUAUUGAAAUACCUGAUCAUUUGAAGUUUGUAGCAUCAUGAUUUCUUCUGACGUACAUUGAAUCCUUUGUUCUUCAUUGUCAUCCAUUAUCUCUUCUAGAUUAUUCUCAUGCUUGUUCUGCACAUUAGCAGUUAGCAUAAAGAUAUUUGUAAAGGUGAUUAAACUGGAAAACACAUGUUGAUUGAAAUACCUUAUCAACUGAAAAUUCUGACUUACUAAUCAUUUUUGAUUUAUAUUGCUUGGGAUCUUCAUUUACCAUUGGUGUUUCAUCUUCCUUUUUACUUCUUUUGCUAUUCAUCUUCUUCUGCUUUAAUUUAUGCCCAGUUUGUGGCUUCCAUUCUUGAUCGGGCUAUUCUGUGAUGAUAUUGCCGUUGCUCUCAGAAUCCCUCUCUCUUGCAAUAGUAUUUUGCUGUUUGUAUAAAUAUUUAAAUUAUAUUAUUUGUCUAUUUAAAUAUAAAUUGACACAUAUGAAAAUUGAUAUUUCGUAUUUAUGUAGUACCUGAUCAACAUUUAUCUGAACAUUUGAAUCUUCUGAUUUACUUAAUCUUCUCCCUGUAUUUUGGCUCUUCUUUUGCUUGUGUUUUCUCUUUUGGAGGGUCUUUGCUUCCUCAUUGUUGGUGACGUUGCAUUUCCUGUCACCCUUUAGGUCCGCUGAAUCUGUGGUGUAUUCUCUCUACAAUAAAAAACAACAACAUUUAUUGAUUCAUUGAACUCAAACAAAAAGAAAGAGUUUCUGUUUAUUCAAAUACCUCAUAAGUUGAAUUUUUCUGCUCGAUAUCAACUGUUUUGCCUUUUCUUUUUUCAUGAGCAACUUUUUUUCAUUUUAUUUGACCACCAGUUUCUUUAUGCUUCCUCUUUUUAUUAUUUGAUGUCUCUUGGAGGCUCUCUCUGUUUUUAUUGGUGCUGAUGUUGUCUUUCUUGUCAUCCUUUUGCUCCUUUGAAUCAUUGUUGUAUUUUCCCUAAAAAACCAAAAUUUGUUGAUAUCAUUGAACACAAAAAAAAACAAUACAAAUUCAAAUACCUCACAAGCUGAAUGUUUAGUCUCAAACACAACUAUUCUGUCUUUUCUUUUUCUGUGAUGAAUUUUCUUCCUAUUUGUUUGACCACAAUUGUCCUUGUGUUUCAUCUUUUUGCCACUAAUCUUUUUGCUUAAUCUUAUUCCAGUCUCUAUAGCAUCUUCUAAUUUUUGUUUCGCGUGAUUGAAGUCAACAUCUGAGCCUUCAAGUUCAAGUGUUGUUUUUUGCAUACUUGUCUCUUUGUAAUCUU
This is a long non-coding RNA of Phragmites australis (common reed), 2129 nucleotides long. RefSeq lists it as uncharacterized. The record is from RefSeq and is a predicted model, not a curated record. NCBI's taxonomy places the organism in Eukaryota, Viridiplantae, Streptophyta, Magnoliopsida, Poales, Poaceae. The transcript is spliced from 4 exons.